RNAcentral lists this non-coding RNA (180 nucleotides) under candidate division Kazan bacterium GW2011_GWA1_44_22. The record is from RNAcentral.
CUUCCAUGCUUUAGGUAUAAACUAGGGUAUGACCCUGUAACGACUGACCCGAAAGGGGAGGCUCUACUGAUUUAGUAGGGCAAUACGCCAACGCCUACAAUCUCAACUCAGGAUAUGGUUAUACAACCUAAGUCCCUGGUGUAGGAUGAAGAUAUAGUCUAUGCCAUUAGUAAUAAUGGA